Molecule: transfer RNA, 67 nt
Filed under: Ectomomyrmex javanus
Lineage: Eukaryota; Metazoa; Arthropoda; Insecta; Hymenoptera; Formicidae
Description: tRNA-Lys
Source: RNAcentral
UCAUUAAAUGACUGAUUAAGUAUUGAUUUUUUAAAUCAAACAUAAUAGAUUUUCUAUUUUUAAUGAA